GUUUGAUUAGCUCAAUUGGAAGAGCGAUCGGCUAUUAAUCGAUGGGUUGCAGGUUCGAGUCCUGUAUCAAACCCCA
This 76-nucleotide transfer RNA is filed under the name Oscillatoriales cyanobacterium. RNAcentral's name for it is "tRNA-Asn". It matches the Rfam family "tRNA". Rfam says of the family: Transfer RNA (tRNA) molecules are approximately 80 nucleotides in length. Their secondary structure includes four short double-helical elements and three loops (D, anti-codon, and T loops). The record is from RNAcentral. RNAcentral also lists the same sequence under 6 other names. Lineage: Bacteria; Bacillati; Cyanobacteriota; Cyanophyceae; Oscillatoriales.